RNAcentral lists this ribosomal RNA (1115 nucleotides) under bacterium Antarctica-27. RNAcentral's name for it is "bacterial SSU rRNA". It matches the Rfam family "Bacterial small subunit ribosomal RNA", at positions 127 to 1248 of the family's 1533-position model. The record is from RNAcentral.
UGCCCUGUACUGGGGAAUAGCCCAGAGAAAUUUGGAUUAAUGCCCCAUGGUAUGUAUUAGCGGCAUCGCUUAUACAUUAAAGGCUACGGUACAGGAUGACUAUGCGUCCCAUUAGUUAGUUGGUAAGGUAACGGCUUACCAAGGCAGCGAUGGGUAGGGGCCCUGAGAGGGGGAUCCCCCACACUGGUACUGAGACACGGACCAGACUCCUACGGGAGGCAGCAGUGAGGAAUAUUGGACAAUGGGCGGGAGCCUGAUCCAGCCAUGCCGCGUGCAGGAAGACGGUCCUAUGGAUUGUAAACUGCUUUUGUACGGGAAGAACAAGGGGCACGUGUGCCCCUCUGACGGUACCGUAAGAAUAAGGAUCGGCUAACUCCGUGCCAGCAGCCGCGGUAAUACGGAGGAUCCGAGCGUUAUCCGGAAUCAUUGGGUUUAAAGGGUCCGUAGGCGGGCCAUUAAGUCAGGGGUGAAAGUCUGCGGCUCAACCGUAGAAUUGCCCUUGAUACUGGUGGUCUUGAGUUAUGGUGAAGUAACUAGAAUAUGUAGUGUAGCGGUGAAAUGCAUAGAUAUUACAUAGAAUACCGAUUGCGAAGGCAGGUUACUAACCAUAUACUGACGCUGAUGGACGAAAGCGUGGGGAGCGAACAGGAUUAGAUACCCUGGUAGUCCACGCCGUAAACGAUGGAUACUAGCUGUCCGGAUGCAAAUCUGGGCGGCCAAGCGAAAGUGAUAAGUAUCCCACCUGGGGAGUACGUCCGCAAGGAUGAAACUCAAAGGAAUUGACGGGGGCCCGCACAAGCGGUGGAGCAUGUGGUUUAAUUCGAUGAUACGCGAGGAACCUUACCAGGGCUUAAAUGUGGUCUGACAGCUUUAGAGAUAGAGCCUCCUUCGGGCAGAUCACAAGGUGCUGCAUGGUUGUCGUCAGCUCGUGCCGUGAGGUGUCAGGUUAAGUCCUAUAACGAGCGCAACCCCUGCCGUUAGUUGCCAGCAUGUAAAGAUGGGGACUCUAACGGGACUGCCGGUGCAAACCGCGAGGAAGGUGGGGAUGACGUCAAAUCAUCACGGCCCUUACGUCCUGGGCCACACACGUGCUACAAUGGCCGGUACAGAGAGCA